GGUCCACGAGCCGAACUUCAUGGUGCAGUUCUGUUCUGCUGGUCGAAGGGGAAGUGCUUGACCUCGAUCUUGCAGGCGCUCUUGUAGAUGGCCGGAGGCAGCCA
Molecule: long non-coding RNA, 104 nt
Organism: Alosa sapidissima (American shad)
Lineage: Eukaryota; Metazoa; Chordata; Actinopteri; Clupeiformes; Clupeidae
Exons: 2
Source: RefSeq, a predicted model, not a curated record